Long non-coding RNA from Cyprinodon tularosa, 1611 nucleotides. RefSeq lists it as uncharacterized. Lineage: Eukaryota; Metazoa; Chordata; Actinopteri; Cyprinodontiformes; Cyprinodontidae. The transcript has 3 exons. The record is from RefSeq and is a predicted model, not a curated record.
CAGAGGGACUUCUGUAAGAGUUUUUCUAGGUGUCUUGGAGUCUAGUGAUUUUCUGCUUCACAUAUGAUCUCCUGUAGCACUAAAUCAUAAAUAUAUCCUCUUUCAUAAACACUCCUUUCGGACAAAUUCCUGCUCCCCGGUGGCUCCUUCACACCCCAUAAUGACUAAAGCAGAGCGGCUGUAAAUUAUAUAAGCCCGGCAGUCCUCAAACACACUGGGACAUCAGUCACUGACAUGGCUGCACAGAGCUCAGACGGCUUUGGGCUCUAACUGCCAAACAGAGAUGAAAAACACUGCUCACCCAGUGGGUAGAGUGCCCAGAAGGUUAAACAAAUCACAAGCGCAUUUUUAUCAUUCCCCACUGUGUUUUUUUCUCUCACUUUCCGUCAGAGCUUUAGAAAUAAGCUUGCUGAUUUGCAUUUGUUUGGGAUUGGUUUGCUAGUUGAGCAAGAUGAGUUUAAGAGCAUGAACCGGACCCUCCUACUUGCUCUCCUCAGCCGGUGCAGGCAAAUUCUCAAGGACACAAGUCUCGACAUCCGUGAUACUGAAAAGAACGGGACUUUUUUUCACACCACAGUAAGUCCCAUUGCUAAAAAUAUUUCGGCGUUCUCCUCCUCCAGAGAGACUUAUGACAAUGCUUACUUCUAUAUACUUUUUGUGAUGCUGUUUUACUCCUUCCUCGCCAUGACACUUUUUAAGUGCUUCAUAAGUAGCAAUGAAGAGAAAAAAGAUCCCUAUGAAGAGUUCAUAGAAACACGGCACCCAUCAACACAAACAUUCAACGAAGGCCACAUGUCCGAGAAUUUUUACUUUGAAGAGGAGAGCAGCCUGGCUUUUUAAGGAAAAUUUGAGGAGGGGUAUUGGUGCAUUUGGGGAAUGUUUUGACAGUCACCAAGCCAGAAAAACGUCAGGCAAGACCUAAAAGGGAUUUUUUUACUCUCACUAACUUCAUUUUCCCUGUUCCCCCACCUACUCCCUCCUUUCGCCAACUGACAAUCAGAAACGUACCACAAGUAUGGCCAGUCUGGAGGCAUAAGGGGAGACGUGUGCCUCUGAUCAUCUGAAAGGAGGACGGAAACAUGUAGAAGUGUGGGUCAAUGGCAGGCCGGAAUCUCCUCCUGUGAGGCCCAAUCAGGAUCAAUAACAUUGGGGCCCUAAACAUGCACACUCUGCAGGGAAAAAAAGGUUAUGAAGACUCCAUGAAUAUGUUUUUAUGUGUGGUGUCUGUGCUUUAAAAAAAAAAAAAAAAAGAGGGUAAAAAGUGUCAAUUUAACCUGCUAUUUUGCUUAAAUCUGAGCACUUAUGUUACAUUUGUGAGAAACAAAAACUUAUUGAACUUAAAUAUUUUAUCAGAUCACAGACCUUAAAUAUUCUAUUAGGAUAAAAAUCUUAAUAAUGUUGUGUACACAUUUAAUUCCACCAACUACAAGACCUUUAUAUGCCUGCUUUGUAGAUUUAAAGGUUCUUUUUCAGAUCAUGUAUAGUUUAGACAGGAAGCAGGGCACCUGUAAAUGGAUUUAAGGCCUUUGACUGGAUUAUCCUAAGAUAGAUUUAUGUGCUAAUCUUAACAAUUACAUGCAUCUCUGGCAGUGUUCCUCAUUUACCCACUGU